RNAcentral lists this ribosomal RNA (490 nucleotides) under uncultured bacterium. RNAcentral's name for it is "partial 16S ribosomal RNA". It matches the Rfam family "Bacterial small subunit ribosomal RNA", at positions 29 to 507 of the family's 1533-position model. The record is from RNAcentral.
AGUGAACGCUGGCGGUAGGCCUAACACAUGCAAGUCGAACGGCAGCACAGGAGAGCUUGCUCUCUGGGUGGCGAGUGGCGGACGGGUGAGGAAUACAUCGGAAUCUGCCCAGUCGUGGGGGAUAACGUAGGGAAACUUACGCUAAUACCGCAUACGACCUUCGGGUGAAAGAGGGGGAUCGCAAGACCUCUCGCGAUUGGAUGAGCCGAUGUCGGAUUAGCUAGUUGGCGGGGUAAUGGCCCACCAAGGCGACGAUCCGUAACUGGUCUGAGAGGAUGAUCAGCCACACUGGAACUGAGACACGGUCCAGACUCCUACGGGAGGCAGCAGUGGGGAAUAUUGGACAAUGGGCGCAAGCCUGAUCCAGCCAUACCGCGUGGGUGAAGAAGGCCUUCGGGUUGUAAAGCCCUUUUGUUGGGAAAGAAAUCUUUCAGGCUAAUACCCUGGGAGGAUGACGGUACCCAAAGAAUAAGCACCGGCUAACUUCGUG